CCUAGGGCUGGCAGCAGUGGGGAAUAUUGGACAAUGGGCGAAAGCCUGAUCCAGCCAUGCCGCGUGUGUGAAGAAGGCCUUCGGGUUGUAAAGCACUUUCAGUGGGGAAGAAAGCCUUGGGGCUAAUACCCUCGAGGAAGGACAUCACCCACAGAAGAAGCACCGGCUAACUCCGUGCCAGCAGCCGCGGUAAUACGGAGGGUGCGAGCGUUAAUCGGAAUUACUGGGCGUAAAGCGCGCGUAGGCGGUCUGAUAAGCCGGUUGUGAAAGCCCCGGGCUCAACCUGGGAACGGCAUCCGGAACUGUCAGGCUAGAGUGCAGGAGAGGAAGGUAGAAUUCCCGGUGUAGCGGUGAAAUGCGUAGAGAUCGGGAGGAAUACCAGUGGCGAAGGCGGCCUUCUGGACUGACACUGACGCUGAGGUGCGAAAGCGUGGGUAGCAAACAGGAUUAGAUACCCCAGUAGUC
Molecule: ribosomal RNA, 465 nt
Filed under: Vreelandella stevensii
Lineage: Bacteria; Pseudomonadati; Pseudomonadota; Gammaproteobacteria; Oceanospirillales; Halomonadaceae
Description: partial 16S ribosomal RNA
Rfam family: Bacterial small subunit ribosomal RNA
Source: RNAcentral